This 555-nucleotide ribosomal RNA is filed under the name uncultured bacterium. RNAcentral describes it as "partial 16S ribosomal RNA". It matches the Rfam family "Bacterial small subunit ribosomal RNA", at positions 355 to 900 of the family's 1533-position model. The record is from RNAcentral.
UAGGGAAUCUUCCACAAUGGACGCAAGUCUGAUGGAGCAACGCCGCGUGAGUGAAGAAGGUUUUCGGACCGUAAAGCUCUGUUGUUGGUGAAGAAGGAUAGAGGUAGUAACUGGCCUUUAUUUGACGGUAAUCAACCAGAAAGUCACGGCUAACUACGUGCCAGCAGCCGCGGUAAUCGUAGGUGGCAAGCGUUGUCCGGAUUUAUUGGGCGUAAAAGCGAGCGCAGGCGGAAGAAUAAGUCUGAUGUGAAAGCCCUCGGCUUAACCGAGGAAUUGCAUCGGAAACUGUUUUUCUUGAGUGCAGAAGAGGAGAGUAGAACUCCAUGUGUAGCGGUGGAAUGCGUAGAUAUAUGGAAGAAUACCAGUGGCGAAGGCGGCUCUCUGGUCUGCAACUGACGCUGAGGCUCGAAAGCAUGGGUAGCGAACAGGAUUAGAUACCCUGGUAGUCCAUGCCGUAAACGAUGAGUGCUAAGUGUUGGGAGGCUUCCGCCUCUCAGUGCUGCAGCUAACGCAUUAAGCACUCCGCCUGGGGGAGUACGACCGCAAGGUUGAAAC